UAGGGAAUUUUCGUCAAUGGGGGAACCCUGAACGAGCAAUGCCGCGUGUGUGAAGAAGGUCUUCGGAUCGUAAAGCACUGUUGUAAGUGAAGAAUGCCAUAUAGAGGAAAUGCUUGUGGGUGACGGUAGCUUACCAGAAAGCCACGGCUAACUACGUGCCAGCAGCCGCGGUAAUACGUAGGUGGCAAGCGUUAUCCGGAAUCAUUGGGCGUAAAGGGUGCGUAGGUGGCACGAUAAGUCUGAAGUAAAAGGCAACAGCUCAACUGUUGUAUGCUUUGGAAACUGUCGAGCUAGAGUGCAGAAGAGGGCGAUGGAAUUCCAUGUGUAGCGGUAAAAUGCGUAGAUAUAUGGAGGAACACCAGUGGCGAAGGCGGUCGCCUGGUCUGUAACUGACACUGAUGCACGAAAGCGUGGGGAGCAAAUAGGGAUUAGAUACC
RNAcentral lists this ribosomal RNA (437 nucleotides) under uncultured bacterium. RNAcentral's name for it is "bacterial SSU rRNA". It matches the Rfam family "Bacterial small subunit ribosomal RNA", at positions 355 to 786 of the family's 1533-position model. The record is from RNAcentral.